RNAcentral lists this ribosomal RNA (253 nucleotides) under uncultured bacterium. Its description in RNAcentral is "partial 16S ribosomal RNA". It matches the Rfam family "Bacterial small subunit ribosomal RNA", at positions 524 to 776 of the family's 1533-position model. The record is from RNAcentral.
UACGUAGGGUCCGAGCGUUGUCCGGAAUUAUUGGGCGUAAAGGGCUCGUAGGCGGUCUGUUGCGUCGGGAGUGAAAACUUACAGCUUAACUGCGAGCGUGCUUUCGAUACGGGCAGACUUGAGGCAUUCAGGGGAGAACGGAAUUCCUGGUGUAGCGGUGAAAUGCGUAGAUAUCUGGAGGAAUACCGGUGGCGAAGGCGGCAUCCUGGACCGACACUGACGCUGAGGCGCGAAAGCUAGGGGAGCAAACGGG